UGAUUGUAGCCAGGGUGAGAGAGAGUGCAUUGACAUGAAAGAUGAGAGAAACUGGGAUUUUCGCUUCACAGCAGCAACAGUUAAAGGGAGAUCAGAUCAACGUGUUCAAAAGCAAAAUGAGGAGGAACAGUUUCCAGCAGAAGACAAUCCAAAUACGAUGAAAACACGGCUGUAAAAUUUCCUAGGACAAAAUACAGGCAGAGACCUGUCUGCUGCAAACUUGGAAUUCUUCAACAUCAAGCAAGCAAUUCUCAAAGGAAUACCAACAUUGAAAAAUAA
Long non-coding RNA from Stegostoma tigrinum, 279 nucleotides. RefSeq lists it as uncharacterized. The record is from RefSeq and is a predicted model, not a curated record. NCBI's taxonomy places the organism in Eukaryota, Metazoa, Chordata, Chondrichthyes, Orectolobiformes, Stegostomatidae. The transcript is spliced from 3 exons.